Molecule: long non-coding RNA, 808 nt
Organism: Phyllopteryx taeniolatus (common seadragon)
Lineage: Eukaryota; Metazoa; Chordata; Actinopteri; Syngnathiformes; Syngnathidae
Exons: 3
Source: RefSeq, a predicted model, not a curated record
GUCUGUGUCAGUGCAUUGUUGCCUCGACUCCUUGCUUCCUGCAUUUUGGUCUACCUUUUUGCUACCAAUGCCACAAAAAUCUGCAAACCCUGACAUAGGCUGAAAAUGUACUGUAAUUAUGACUUCACUACUGAGUUAAGAUACAUCAGAUACACAUGAGCUGGUGUCACAAGUGACUCACUUUGUGUAUCGCUGAUGUUUGUAGAAGCAAUUGCCUACAAGGUGCACAUGAUGAUGAAAAGAACCCUUCGUGGAAAGAUCUCUGUGUGCGAUACUGCUCUGCUGACCCAUGCUGUGAUCAAAUGUGCAGAUGUGCAUCCCGUAAGCGCUUUGACCUUGAGGUUUAUCCUCAUGUGCGCCUUCAAGUUUCAUCUGGUCAUGAGCCCCUGACAAUGGGGAGCGAAAUGAGCCAUGGAAGAAUUAGGAUGGCAGGUGUAAAGGUCAACAGAGUCAUGAUAAAGCAAGAGGACUCACAGAGAGAUGGAAGACCCGGGACUCAGCGGUCUGAGCCAAGACAAGCAAACCAUUAUAGGUAACAGUGGAACCUAUAAACUGGAAUUUUGGCUGCUCAAUGUCACUUGUUCCGAAGGUUAGUGUCAAGUGUUUCCUUUGUACGUUUUACAGUGUUCUUAGUCAGAACACUUAUAAACGUGUUAGAAAAGGGGACACACAAAUGAGGUGGUCAUCCAAGCAUUACAGCCUUGUCAUACGCAUUCCAGGUAGAGUUGAAUAUUGUUUUAUUAGUUUAUUUUAAUUAUAACCGUGGUUAUUUUAUUUUAUGCUUUUUUUCUGUUUGUCUAUUGUUUUU